Long non-coding RNA from Columba livia (rock pigeon), 3697 nucleotides. RefSeq lists it as uncharacterized. The transcript is spliced from 3 exons. The record is from RefSeq and is a predicted model, not a curated record. NCBI's taxonomy places the organism in Eukaryota, Metazoa, Chordata, Aves, Columbiformes, Columbidae.
CAGAGCCGUUAGUCCCCCCCUCGUGUUGGACCCUCUGCCCCACACCCCACUCCAGGAGACCACCCAGAGGUCCAUGGGAGGACCCAGAGGUCCAGGAGACCACCCAGAUGUCCAAGAGACCACCCAGAGGUCCAUGGGGGGAUCCAGAGGUCCAAGAGACCACCCAGAUGUCCAUAAAGGGACCUCGAGGUCCAUAAAGGGACCCAGGUGUCCAGGAGACCACCCAGAGGUCCAAAAGACACCAAGAUGUCCAUGGGGGGACCCUGAGGUCCAUGGGGGACCCAAGUGUCCAGGAGACCACCCAGAUGUCCAUGAGGGGACCCAGAUGUCCGGGAGACCACCCAGAUAUCCAUGAGAGGACCCAGAGGUCCAUAAGGGGACCCAGAGGUCCAGGAGAGGACCCAGAUGUCCGGGAGACCACCCAGAUAUCCAUGGGGGGACCUCGAGGUCCAUAAGGAGAUCCAGAGGUCCAUAAGGGGACCCAGGUGUCCAGGAGACCACCCAGAGGUCCAAAAGACACCAAAAUGUCCAUGGGGGGACCCAGAGGUCCAAGAGACCACCCAGAUGUCCAUGGGGGGACCCAGAGAUCCAUAAGGGGACCCAGGUGUCCAGGAGACCACCCAGAGGUCCAAGAGACCACCCAGAUGUCCAUGGGGGGACCCAGAGGUCCAAGAGACCACCCAGAUAUCCAUAAAGGGACCUCGAGGUCCAUAAGGGGACCCAGGUGUCCAGGAGACCACCCAGAGGUCCAAAAGACACCAAGAUGUCCAUGGGGGGACCCUGAGGUCCAUUGGGGACCCAAGUGUCCAGGAGACCACCCAGAUGUCCAUGAGGGGACCCAGAUGUCCGGGAGACCACCCAGAUAUCCAUGAGAGGACCCAGCGGUCCAUAAGGGGACCCAGAGGUCCAGGAGAGGACCCAGAGGUCCAAGAGACCACCCAGAUGUCCAUGGGGGGACCCAGAGGUCCAAGAAACCACCCAGAUAUCCAUGGGGGGACCCAGAGAUCCAUAAGGGGACCCAGGUGUCCAGGAGACCACCCAGAGGUCCAAAAGACACCAAGAUGUCCAUGGGGGGGCCUUGAGGUCCAUAAGGGGACCCAGGUGUCCAGGAGAGGACCCAGGUGUCCAGGACAGCACCCAGAUGUCCAUGGGGGGACCCAGAGGUCCAAAAGACCACCCUAAUAUCCAUAGGGGGACCCAGAGGUCCAUAAGGGGACCCAGAGGUCCAAGAGACCACCCAGAUGUCCAUGGGGGGACCCAGAGGUCCAAGAGACCACCCAGAUGUCCAUGGGGGGACCUCGAGGUCCAUAAGGGGACCCAGGUGUCCAGGAGACCACCCAGAGGUCCAAAAGACACCAAGAUGUCCAUGGGGGGACCCUGAGGUCCAUGGGGGACCCAGGUGUCCAGGAGAGAACCCAGGUGUCCAGGAGACCACCCAGAUGUCCAUGGGGGGAUCCAGAGGUCCAGGAGACCACCCAGAUGUCCAUGGGGGGACCUCGAGGUCCAUAAAGGGACCCAGGUGUCCAGGAGACCACCCAGAGGUCCAAAAGACACCAAGAUGUCCAUGGGGGGACCUUGAGGUCCAUUGGGGACCCAGGUGUCCAGGAGACCACCCAGAUGUCCAUGGGAGGACCCAGAGGUCCAUAAGGGAACCAAAGGUCCAGGAGAGGACCCAGAGGGCCAAGAGACCACCCAGAUGUCCAUGAGGGGACCCAGAUGUCCGGGAGACCACCCAGAUAUCCAUGGGAGGACCCAGAGGUCCAUAAGGGGACUCAGAGGUCCAGGAGAGGACCCAGAGGUCCAAGAGCCCACCCAGAUGUCCAUGGAAGGACCCAGAGGUCCAAGAGACCACCCAGGUGUCCAUGAAGGGACCUCGAGGUCCAUAAGGGGACCCAGGUGUCCAGGGGACCACCCAGAGGUCCAUGGGGGCACCCAGAGUUCCAAGAGACCACCCAGAUGUCCAUGGAAGGACCCAGAGGUCCAUAAUGGGACCCAGAGGUCCAGGAUGGGACUUGGUUUUUGGGGUUCGCCCCACACCACUUUGGGAUCUCCACCCCCAACCUCGGUCCCCUCCACCCCGGGCCACACAAUCCGCCCCGUCAUCGAGCCCCAGCGAUGGUGACAUUGUCACCCCGGGUGUCACGGUGACGAUGACACAGUCAUCGUUAAUGAGGCCACUAAUUAUGGGUUACGCCAGCUCUUCUGCUUCCCCCUCCUUGGCCCGGGGGGGUUGACCUCCCAGAACCUCCCGUUGCCCUUGGAUGCCUCCCUGGGGCUGGGGCUGUGGGUCACGGCCCCAUGGAGAUGUGGGUCACAGCCCCUCCGUGGUUGUGGGUCACGGUUCUUCAAGGCUGUGGGUUGGGGGGACCCUUGGAUGUGGGUUGGAAGCGCCCUUAGAUAUGGGGCGUUGCUCCCCCAAGGUCAUUGCUCCCCAUAGUUGUGGGUUGUGUCCCCCCAUUGCUGUGGGUCGUGGGUCCCCGUAGGUCACCAUUCCCCGUGGAUGUGGGUCUGGGGUUCCCAUGGCUGUGGGUCAUGGUUGUCCAUGGGGUUGAGUCGCGGUUCCCUGUAGCCAUGGGUUGGAGGGACCUUUGAGUCAUGGUUUCCCAUGGCCGUGGGUCACAGAUCCCCGUGGCCGUGGGUCACAGAUCCCCCAUGGCCAUGGGUCACUGGUGGUCAUGGCCAUGGGGUCACUGGUCCCCAUGGAGAAAGGUCGUGGGCCCCAUGGAAGUGGGUCAAGGCUCCACGUGAGUGUGGGUCACGGUUCCCAUGGCCAUGGGUUGGAGCCACCCAUGGGUGUGGGGCACCACUCCCUGUGGACGUGUGCCACGGGCCCCACAGAUAAGGGCGGGAAAUGGGUCCCAUGGGUGCUGGUCGUUGCUCCCCAUGGAGGUGGGAGGUGGUGGGACCCAUGGAUGGAGGUGGUGGGACCCAAGGACAUGGGAGGUGGUGGGACCCAAGGACAUGGGAGGUGGGACCCAUGGAUGUGGGAGGUGGUGGGACCCAUGGAUGGAGGUGGUGGGAUCCAAGGACAUGGGAGGUGGGGUCCAUGGAUGUGGGAGGUGGUGGGACCCAUGGAUGGAGGUGGUGGGACCCAAGGACAUGGGAGGUGGUGGGACCCAUGGACAUGGGAGGUGGUGGGACCCAAGGACAUGGGAGGUGGGACCCAUGGAUGUGGGAGGUGGUGGGACCCAUGGAUGGAGGUGAUGGGACCCAAGGACAUGGGAGGUGGUGGGACCCAAGGACAUGGGAGGUGGGACCCAUGGAUGUGGGAGGUGGUGGGACCCAUGGAUGGAGGUGGUGGGACCCAAGGACAUGGGAGGUGGUGGGACCCAAGGACAUGGGAGUUGGGGUCCAUGGAUGUGGGAGGUGGUGGGACCCAUGGAUGGAGGUGAUGGGACCCAAGGACAUGGGAGGUGGUGGGACCCAAGGACAUGGGAGGUGGGACCCAUGGAUGUGGGAGGUGGUGGGACCCAUGGAUGGAGGUGGUGGGACCCAAGGACAUGGGAGGUGGUGGGACCCAAGGACAUGGGAGGUGGGACCCAUGGAUGUGGGAGGUGGUGGGACCCAUGGACAUGGGAGGUGGUGGGACCCAUGGGAGAGGGAGCAAAGCCUGGAGAAGGAUGGACAGACAGAUGAAGUGACCAUGGAGAAGAAAGGAUGGCUGGAGAGCUGGGAUGAAGGGGUGGAGCCCCGUGAA